GCUGGGCGCAGUGGCUCACGCCUGUAAUCCCAGCACUUUGGGAGGCUGAGGUGGGUGGAUCACCUGAGGUCAGGAGUUCGAGACCAGCCUGACCAACAUGGUGAAACCCCAUCUCUA
This 117-nucleotide non-coding RNA is filed under the name Gorilla gorilla gorilla (western lowland gorilla). Lineage: Eukaryota; Metazoa; Chordata; Mammalia; Primates; Hominidae. The record is from Rfam by way of RNAcentral.